AACUCCCCUGUUGCUGCUUUUCUGGAGCCCCUCCACCAGCCCAGCACUGACAGGGAGAGGAAGCCGUGGCGGCGGUGACAGCCUAGAUGAGUAACUAAGAAUUCAAAGUGUGCCGCCUUAGAGCCAGCAAAGCAUAUUGAAGCAUUUCUGUAACCAAGUUAAACAUUUGAGGAAAGCCAACUUCAAAUUGCAAACGUUGGGCAAAUGUUGGACUGAGGUGGGUCACGGACAUUCUCGACCUAACUUUUCUGGAUUCUGAUGGCACAGAAACAGAAACAAAAGUGGGAGCACAUGCUCGGCAGGAACUGGUGGCUCUUCUACACUUGUGGUGUUAUGUGUAAACCUGCCCU
Long non-coding RNA from Hemicordylus capensis (graceful crag lizard), 350 nucleotides. RefSeq lists it as uncharacterized. The record is from RefSeq and is a predicted model, not a curated record. Lineage: Eukaryota; Metazoa; Chordata; Lepidosauria; Squamata; Cordylidae. The transcript has 3 exons.